AGCUCCAAUAGCGUAUAUUUUAGUUGUUGCAGUUAAAAAGCUCGUAGUUGAAUUUCUGGUGGGGGAAUGCGGUGUGACCCUUAGGGUUAUGACUUGCAAUCUCCGGCCAUCCUUGGGUGGAGCCAUUCUGGCAUUAAGUUGUCGGGGUGGGGAUGCCCAUCGUUUACUGUGAAAAAAUUAGAGUGUUCAAAGCAGACUUAUGUCGUUGAAUAUAUUAGCAUGGAAUAAUAAGAUAGGACAGCAGUGCUAUUUUGUUGGUUUGCGCACCGUUGUAAUGAUGAAUAGGGACAGUUGUGGGUAUUCGUAUUCACUUGUAAGAGGUGAAAUUCUUAGAUUAAGGGAAGACGAACUACUGCGAAAGCAUUUACCAAGGAUGUUUUCA
Molecule: ribosomal RNA, 382 nt
Filed under: uncultured marine Chaetocerotaceae
Lineage: Eukaryota; Bacillariophyta; Thalassiosirophyceae; Chaetocerotales; Chaetocerotaceae
Description: SSU rRNA
Rfam family: Eukaryotic small subunit ribosomal RNA
Source: RNAcentral